RNAcentral lists this small nucleolar RNA (124 nucleotides) under Bombyx mori (domestic silkworm). RNAcentral describes it as "Bm_121". Lineage: Eukaryota; Metazoa; Arthropoda; Insecta; Lepidoptera; Bombycidae. The record is from RNAcentral.
AGUUUUGGACUCAUAUUACAAAUUAAUAUCUGAGUUAAUUCGGAGUGCAUACAGUAAUAUGUGUUUGUCGUACUCACAUCGAUGUAUGUUGUCGACUGUGGGCAGUAGCAUUCACCACANUAUU